RNAcentral lists this ribosomal RNA (408 nucleotides) under uncultured bacterium. RNAcentral describes it as "partial 16S ribosomal RNA". It matches the Rfam family "Bacterial small subunit ribosomal RNA", at positions 28 to 526 of the family's 1533-position model. The record is from RNAcentral.
GACGAACGCUGGCGGCGUGCUUAACACAUGCAAGUCGAACGAAGUGGCGAACGGGUGAGUAACGCGUAAUCAACCGGCCCUUCAGAGGGGGACAACAGUUGGAACCGACUGCUAAUACCGCAUACUGAAGGAGGGGAUUGCGUCUGAUUGGCUAGUUUGGGUGGUAACGGCCCACCAAGGCGAUGAUCAGUAGGCGGGCUGGGAGGGUGAACGAGCAAAAUGGGAACGAGACACCGCCCAGACUCCUACCGGAGGGAACAGGGGGGAAUCUUCCGCAAUGGAGGAAAGGCUGACGGAGCAACGCCGUGGGAUUGAUGGCGGCCUUCGGGUUGUAAAGCUCUGUUAAGCGGGACGCGGUACCGGAAGAGAAAGCCACGGCUAACUACGUGCCAGCAGCCGCGGUAAUUC